RNAcentral lists this ribosomal RNA (253 nucleotides) under uncultured bacterium. RNAcentral's name for it is "partial 16S ribosomal RNA". It matches the Rfam family "Bacterial small subunit ribosomal RNA", at positions 524 to 776 of the family's 1533-position model. The record is from RNAcentral.
UACAGGGGGUGCAAACGUUGCUCGGAAUUAUUGGGCGUAAAGCGCGCGUAGGCGGCUACUUAUGUCGGAUGUGAAAGCCCCUGGCUCAACUGGGGAAGUGCACCCGAAACUGGAUAGCUUGAGUACAGAAGAGGAUCGCGGAAUUCCCGGUGUAGAGGUGAAAUUCGUAGAUAUCGGGAGGAACACCAGUGGCGAAGGCGGCGAUCUGGGCUGAUACUGACGCUGAGGUGCGAAAGCGUGGGGAGCAAACAGG